UCUCAAGUUUAAACCUAUGAAUAUGAAAAUGAGUCCCAUUAGUUUUAAAGGUUUGAAUCUUUUAAAGAGAGUUUCUUCUCUUAAAUUCAUGUGCUUUUUGUAAAGGUAUGAUAGCAAAGUUGAGAGUUGAUAACAAGUUUCCAUUGAGGGAGUCCUCCAAGACUUGGAUAUGCAUACAUCUACCCUUGGUGUUUUUUUCU
Molecule: long non-coding RNA, 200 nt
Filed under: Spirodela polyrhiza (greater duckweed)
Lineage: Eukaryota; Viridiplantae; Streptophyta; Magnoliopsida; Alismatales; Araceae
Description: long non-coding RNA (SPOL_LNC000763)
Source: RNAcentral